CUGCCCUGUACAGGGGGAUAACACUUAGAAAUAGGUGCUAAAACCGCAUAAGCGCACAGCUUCGCAUGAAGAAGUGUGAAAAACUCCGGUGGUACAGGAUGGACCCGCGUCUGAUUAGCUUGUUGGAGGGGUAACGGCCCACCAAGGCGACGAUCAGUAGCCGGCCUGAGAGGGUGAACGGCCACAUUGGGACUGAGACACGGCCCAAACUCCUACGGGAGGCAGCAGUGGGGAAUAUUGCACAAUGGGGGAAACCCUGAUGCAGCGACGCCGCGUGAGUGAAGAAGUAUUUCGGUAUGUAAAGCUCUAUCAGCAGGGAAGAAAAUGACGGUACCUGACUAAGAAGCCCCGGCUAACUACGUGCCAGCAGCCGCGGUAAUACGUAGGGGGCAAGCGUUAUCCGGAUUUACUGGGUGUAAAGGGAGCGUAGACGGUGAUGCAAGUCUGAUGUGAAAGCCCGGGGCUCAACCGCGGGACUGCAUUGGAAACUGUAUGACUGGAGUGCAGGAGAGGUAAGUGGAAUUCCUAGUGUAGCGGUGAAAUGCGUAGAUAUUAGGAGGAACACCAGUGGCGAAGGCGGCUUACUGGACUGUAACUGACGUUGAGGCUCGAAAGCGUGGGGAGCAAACAGGAUUAGAUACCCUGGUAGUCCACGCCGUAAAC
Molecule: ribosomal RNA, 663 nt
Filed under: uncultured bacterium
Lineage: Bacteria
Description: bacterial SSU rRNA
Rfam family: Bacterial small subunit ribosomal RNA
Source: RNAcentral